This 28-nucleotide non-coding RNA is filed under the name Cricetulus griseus (Chinese hamster). Lineage: Eukaryota; Metazoa; Chordata; Mammalia; Rodentia; Cricetidae. The record is from RNAcentral.
UCUCUUUUGGGAUCUAAUUGCCGUGGUU